AGUAGGACCCGUUGUCCCUCUAAAUGAUCCGAAUCUGACACAUCCAACUUGAUCCACUCCAUGACAAUUACAUUCCACCUGAUUCAUUUGAUAUAAUGAAUGUUUGGAUCAAUCGGAUCCAUUCUUUAUGCCCAACCAACCCAAUUCGCAUGCGGGUAAACCCAUACGGGUCCAUUCCAAACCUACUAGCCCCGUUUUAUUAGCGUCUCUCCUUAGCCACCCGCAUUCUCCCGCCAUGAGAACAGAUCAAGCAAGCCCCACGCCCGUCACUCACCUCUUCCCCCGAGCAAGCUACGGAAGCUCCUCCUCCCCGUUCUCCCCAUCUCUUCCUCUCAUCCGGCUGCCGAAGCACUCCUUCUUCACUCCUACGUCGACGUCGUCUUCGGUCCCCUAAACACCCACGUCGGGUCUCGCUCCUUCCGACCUACCUUCUCUUUAGCUCCGUAUUCCUCACCCCACCACCCCGGGCUGCAUACAAUUUCUCUUUCCUCCUCGCCUCCGACAGUCUCCUGGCGCCGGGCUUGAUCCAGCCAGAGCAGGCCACGGUGUACGCAAUCAAUUUUGGGCUCGAGACCCGGGUGUCCGUUUCCAUUGUAAUGAUCCUUAUGUAUAGGAGCUUUGGGUCAGUCCACGAAGCGUUAUGGUGCCUGACGCGAGAGCUGUUCUCAGAGAACUUGUUGCAUCGGUUGGCAUGGGCAUAUGAUAAUAUCGACCACGCUAGCGAGUUGUUCGACAAAAUGCUGCAGAAGGAUGCUGUAUCACGGAGUGGCAGAUGAUGUGCUGCUAUUGGAAGAUUGGUGGACCAAGGAAAAUCUUGUUUUAAUCCAAUAAGGAAUGUUUACAUGGUAAAUGUUGUCAAGCAUGGUGUGAUGUUAAAAGAAGCAGAGGAGAUGAUUUUCAGCAAUGGUAAUGUCUCCAGAAUUUUCCAUAUGUAGGUUGCACUGCUUGAUGCUUUUUUCAGAUACAUGGAGAUAUCAAGAUGUGAUAUCGGAUCGAUAAGGUCAACGAGUGGAGCCUGCAAUGUGGGUUAUUUUUUUUAUUGGCAAUCAUGUUUUUGGGAUCCAGGAGAUAGAAUGAUGCAAGAUAUGUCAGAACGAGCAUCAAAAUUGGUGGUGGAAGAAAGUGAUGCCACUCCAAAUUGAUGGUAUGUUUCAUCAGUUACUCAUGGGAAAUCGAUCUCGCCACACACUAAACGCAUCUAUUUAUCUUUGUAUGAGAUGCUUUUCAAAGUUUAGCUUGCUGGCUAUGCGCCAGAAGUUGGAGAGGUGCUGCUUGACUCCUAUCAAUUGGACAAAGAGACUGUUCUGUGUAUACAGAGUAAUAUAUUAGCCAAUGCCUUUGGGUUGAUAAACACAAAAUCAGGAUGCCAAUAGCAGUUAUGAAAAAUCUGACAGUUUGCGGUGACUGCCAUCAUGCUAGAAAGUCCAUCUCCAAGGUCCACGAUCGAGAGAUAAUAUAGUGCAGGACAGGAUCACGUUUCAUCGCUUCAAAGCAGAUUAUGUUCCUGCAACUUGCAAGAAUCACUGGUAAACGAUUGAAUUUGUGCCAACAAGGAGAAUCUAUUAGAUGACUAAAACUAUUCUUUCUCGUCUUCAUGUGGUAAAGUUGCCUACAGCUAUCCUCUAUAUUUAAAAGGAUUGCUCGAUUCCAUACUAAUAUCAUUUAGCUCUGCUGCUGAAAAUUUUGCCUAGUUGCCUUUUUUACUGAUUAUUUGUGCAAUAAUUCUUGGGAACUAACCGUUUUUCAAUAAAUCUUAUGAGCAUUUAAAUAUUAA
Musa acuminata AAA Group (dessert banana) is the source of this 1774-nucleotide long non-coding RNA. RefSeq lists it as uncharacterized. Lineage: Eukaryota; Viridiplantae; Streptophyta; Magnoliopsida; Zingiberales; Musaceae. The transcript is spliced from 2 exons. The record is from RefSeq and is a predicted model, not a curated record.